AACGAACGCUGGCGGCAUGCCUAACACAUGCAAGUCGAACGAGACCUCCGGGCCUAGUGGCGCUGGGGUGCGUAACGCGUGGGAACUUGCCCUUAGGUUCGGUACAAUUCAGUGAAAUUUGAGCUAAUACCGGAGGAUGUAUUCGCACCAAAGAUUUAUCGCUGUUGGAUGGGCCCGCGUGGGAUUAGCUAGUUGGUGGGGUAAUAGCCUACCAAGGCGUCGAUGCAUAGCUGGUCUGUGAAGAUGACAAACCACACUGGGAAUGAGACACGGCCGAGACUCGUACGGAGGAGAGCAGAGGGGAAUAUUAGACGCUGAACGAAAACCUGAUCCAGCAGUGCCGCGUGAGUGGUGAAGGCCUUAGGGUUGUAAAGCUCUUUGAGCCGAGGUGAUAGUGACAGUAUCGGGAGAAGAAGCACCGGCUAACUCCGUG
RNAcentral lists this ribosomal RNA (433 nucleotides) under uncultured bacterium. RNAcentral describes it as "partial 16S ribosomal RNA". It matches the Rfam family "Bacterial small subunit ribosomal RNA", at positions 29 to 507 of the family's 1533-position model. The record is from RNAcentral.